This 718-nucleotide ribosomal RNA is filed under the name Lactobacillus gasseri. RNAcentral's name for it is "bacterial SSU rRNA". It matches the Rfam family "Bacterial small subunit ribosomal RNA", at positions 379 to 1087 of the family's 1533-position model. The record is from RNAcentral. Lineage: Bacteria; Bacillati; Bacillota; Bacilli; Lactobacillales; Lactobacillaceae.
AAGUCUGAUGGAGCAACGCCGCGUGAGUGAAGAAGGGUUUCGGCUCGUAAAGCUCUGUUGGUAGUGAAGAAAGAUAGAGGUAGUAACUGGCCUUUAUUUGACGGUAAUUACUUAGAAAGUCACGGCUAACUACGUGCCAGCAGCCGCGGUAAUACGUAGGUGGCAAGCGUUGUCCGGAUUUAUUGGGCGUAAAGCGAGUGCAGGCGGUUCAAUAAGUCUGAUGUGAAAGCCUUCGGCUCAACCGGAGAAUUGCAUCAGAAACUGUUGAACUUGAGUGCAGAAGAGGAGAGUGGAACUCCAUGUGUAGCGGUGGAAUGCGUAGAUAUAUGGAAGAACACCAGUGGCGAAGGCGGCUCUCUGGUCUGCAACUGACGCUGAGGCUCGAAAGCAUGGGUAGCGAACAGGAUUAGAUACCCUGGUAGUCCAUGCCGUAAACGAUGAGUGCUAAGUGUUGGGAGGUUUCCGCCUCUCAGUGCUGCAGCUAACGCAUUAAGCACUCCGCCUGGGGAGUACGACCGCAAGGUUGAAACUCAAAGGAAUUGACGGGGGCCCGCACAAGCGGUGGAGCAUGUGGUUUAAUUCGAAGCAACGCGAAGAGCCUUACCAGGUCUUGACAUCCAGUGCAAACCUAAGAGAUUAGGUGUUCCCUUCGGGGACGCUGAGACAGGUGGUGCAUGGCUGUCGUCAGCUCGUGUCGUGAGAUGUUGGGGUUAAGUCC